GCAAGUCGAACGAAGUAGUAAUACUUAGUGGCAGACGGGUGAGUAACAUGUAGGUAUCUGCCCUUUGGCCUGGAAUAACACGAGGAAACUUGUGCUAAUACCGGAUAAGUCUUUACGGAGAAAGCUUUAUGCACCAUUGGAUGAGCCUGCACUUGAUUAGUUUGUUGGUGGGGUAAUGGCCUACCAAGACUGUGAUCAAUAGCUGAUUUGAGAGGAUGAUCAGCCACAUUGGGACUGAGACACGGCCCAAACUCCUACGGGAGGCAGCAGUGGGGAAUCUUGCACAAUGGAGGAAACUCUGAUGCAGCGAUGCCGCGUGAGUGAAGAAGGCCUUUGGGUUGUAAAGCUCUUUCGUCGGGGAAGAAAAUGACUGUACCCGAAUAAGAAGGUCCGGCUAACUUCGUGCCAGCAGCCGCGGUAAUACGAAGGGACCUAGCGUAGUUCGGAAUUACUGGGCUUAAAGAGUUCGUAGGUGGUUGAAAAAGUUGGUGGUGAAAUCCCAGAGCUUAACUCUGGAACUGCCAUCAAAACUUUUCAGCUAGAGUAUGAUAGAGGAAAGCAGAAUUUCUAGUGUAGAGGUGAAAUUCGUAGAUAUUAGAAAGAAUACCGAUUGCGAAGGCAGCUUUCUGGAUCAUUACUGACACUGAGGAACGAAAGCAUGGGUAGCGAAGAGGAUUAGAUACCCUCGUAGUCCAUGCCGUAAACGAUGUGUGUUAGACGUUGGAAAUUUAUUUUCAGUGUCGCAGCGAAAGCGAUAAACACACCGCCUGGGGAGUACGACCGCAAGGUUAAAACUCAAAUGAAUU
Molecule: ribosomal RNA, 806 nt
Filed under: uncultured Alphaproteobacteria bacterium
Lineage: Bacteria; Pseudomonadati; Pseudomonadota; Alphaproteobacteria
Description: bacterial SSU rRNA
Rfam family: Bacterial small subunit ribosomal RNA
Source: RNAcentral